RNAcentral lists this ribosomal RNA (253 nucleotides) under uncultured bacterium. Its description in RNAcentral is "partial 16S ribosomal RNA". It matches the Rfam family "Bacterial small subunit ribosomal RNA", at positions 524 to 776 of the family's 1533-position model. The record is from RNAcentral.
UACGAAGGGGGCUAGCGUUGCUCGGAAUCACUGGGCGUAAAGCGCACGUAGGCGGCUUUCUAAGUCAGGGGUGAAAUCCUGGAGCUCAACUCCAGAACUGCCUUUGAUACUGGAGAGCUAGAGUCCGGAAGAGGUGAGUGGAACUGCGAGUGUAGAGGUGAAAUUCGUAGAUAUUCGCAAGAACACCAGUGGCGAAGGCGGCUCACUGGCCCGGUACUGACGCUGAGGUGCGAAAGCGUGGGGAGCAAACAGG